Molecule: small nuclear RNA, 105 nt
Filed under: Dasypus novemcinctus (nine-banded armadillo)
Lineage: Eukaryota; Metazoa; Chordata; Mammalia; Cingulata; Dasypodidae
Source: RNAcentral
GUGAUUGCUUUGGUAGCACAUAUACUAAAAUUGGAAUGAUAGAGAUGGUUAGCAUGACCCCUGCACAAGAAUGACACACAAAUUAAUGAAGUGCUCCAUAUUUUU